RNAcentral lists this ribosomal RNA (447 nucleotides) under uncultured bacterium. RNAcentral describes it as "bacterial SSU rRNA". It matches the Rfam family "Bacterial small subunit ribosomal RNA", at positions 29 to 524 of the family's 1533-position model. The record is from RNAcentral.
AACGAACGCUGGCGGCAGGCUUAACACAUGCAAGUCGAGCGCCCCGCAAGGGGAGCGGCAGACGGGUGAGUAACGCGUGGGAACAUACCCUUUGGUUCGGAAUAACUCAGGGAAACUUGAGCUAAUACCGGAUACGUCCGUAAGGAGAAAGAUUUAUCGCCAAAGGAUUGGCCCGCGUCCGAUUAGCUAGUUGGUGAGGUAACGGCUCACCAAGGCUACGAUCGGUAGCUGGUCUGAGAGGAUGAUCAGCCACAUUGGGACUGAGACACGGCCCAAACUCCUACGGGAGGCAGCAGUGGGGAAUAUUGGACAAUGGGCGCAAGCCUGAUCCAGCCAUGCCGCGUGAGUGAUGAAGGCCUUAGGGUUGUAAAGCUCUUUUGUCCGGGAAGAUAAUGACUGUACCGGAAGAAUAAGCCCGGCUAACUUCGUGCCAGCAGCCGCGGUAAU